GCCCCUAUCGUCUAGAGGCCUAGGACACAGGCUUUUCAAGCCUGGAACACGAGUUCGAAUCUCGUUGGGGGCACAA
Molecule: transfer RNA, 76 nt
Filed under: Ignavibacteria bacterium
Lineage: Bacteria; Pseudomonadati; Ignavibacteriota; Ignavibacteria
Description: tRNA-Glu
Rfam family: tRNA
About the family: Transfer RNA (tRNA) molecules are approximately 80 nucleotides in length. Their secondary structure includes four short double-helical elements and three loops (D, anti-codon, and T loops).
Source: RNAcentral